RNAcentral lists this ribosomal RNA (253 nucleotides) under uncultured bacterium. Its description in RNAcentral is "partial 16S ribosomal RNA". It matches the Rfam family "Bacterial small subunit ribosomal RNA", at positions 524 to 776 of the family's 1533-position model. The record is from RNAcentral.
UACAGAGGUGCCAAGCGUUGUUCGGAUUUACUGGGCGUAAAGGGUGCGUAGGCGGUCGCGCAAGUCGGACGUGAAAUCCCGGGGCUCAACCCCGGAACGGCGCUCGAAACUGCGCGGCUAGAGGUCUGGAGAGGUGACUGGAAUUCUCGGUGUAGCAGUGAAAUGCGUAGAUAUCGAGAGGAACGCCAGAGGCGAAAGCGGAUCACUGGACGGAACCUGACGCUGAGGCACGAAAGCCAGGGGAGCAAACGGG